This 253-nucleotide ribosomal RNA is filed under the name uncultured bacterium. RNAcentral's name for it is "partial 16S ribosomal RNA". It matches the Rfam family "Bacterial small subunit ribosomal RNA", at positions 524 to 776 of the family's 1533-position model. The record is from RNAcentral.
UACGGGAGUGGCGAGCGUUGUCCGGAUUUACUAGGCGUAAAGGGCAAGUAGGCGGAGAUAUAAGUUUUGUGUUAAAGGCAUUGGCUCAACCAAUGUAAGGCACAAGAUACUGUAUUUCUAGAGUAAGUGAGAUGUAACCGGAAUUUCUGGUGUAGCGGUGGAAUGCUCAGAUAUCAGAAAGAACACCGAUGGCGAAGGCAGGUUACAGGUGCAUUACUGACGCUAAAUUGCGAAGGUGCGGGUAUCGAACAGG